RNAcentral lists this ribosomal RNA (459 nucleotides) under uncultured bacterium. RNAcentral describes it as "partial 16S ribosomal RNA". It matches the Rfam family "Bacterial small subunit ribosomal RNA", at positions 338 to 795 of the family's 1533-position model. The record is from RNAcentral.
CCUACGGGAGGCAGCAGUGAGGAAUAUUGGUCAAUGGGCGGGAGCCUGAACCAGCCAAGCCGCGUGAGGGAAGAAGGUACAGCGUAUCGUAAACCUCUUUUGUCAGGGAACAAAGGCGGGGACUAGUCCCCGGAUGAGGGUACCUGAAGAAAAAGCAUCGGCUAACUCCGUGCCAGCAGCCGCGGUAAUACGGAGGAUGCGAGCGUUAUCCGGAUUUAUUGGGUUUAAUGGGUGGGCAGGCGGCCUGUUAAGUCAGCGGGAAAAGCCCUGGGCUCAACCCCGGCGAGCCGUUGAAACUGGCGGGCUGGAGUUGGAGAGAAGUACGCGGAAUGCGCGGUGUAGCGGUGAAAUGCUUAGAUAUCGCGCAGAACCCCGAUUGCGAAGGCAGCGUACCGGCUCCACACUGACGCUGAGGCACGAAAGCGUGGGUAUCGAACAGGAUUAGAUACCCUGGUAGUC